Molecule: ribosomal RNA, 771 nt
Filed under: uncultured bacterium
Lineage: Bacteria
Description: bacterial SSU rRNA
Rfam family: Bacterial small subunit ribosomal RNA
Source: RNAcentral
AGAGUUUGAUCCUGGCUCAGGACGAACGCUGGCGGCGUGCCUAAUACAUGCAAGUCGAACGCACUGACGGAGAACUUGUUCUCUUGACGUGAGUGGCGCACGGGUGAGUAACACGUGGGAAACCUACCCUUCAGCGGGGGAUAACCAUCGGAAACGAUGACUAAUACCGCAUAGACGACAGAACCGCCUGGUUCAAUCGGGAAAGACGGCUUCGGCUGUCACUGAAGGAUGGUCCCGCGCUGCAUUAGCUAGUUGGUAGGGUAACGGCUUACCAAGGCGAUGAUGCAUAGCCGACCUGAGAGGGUGAUCGGCCACAUUGGGACUGAGACACGGCCCAAACUCCUACGGGAGGCAGCAGUAGGGAAUCUUCCGCAAUGGACGCAAGUCUGACGGAGCAACGCCGCGUGUGUGAAGAAGGUUUUCGGAUCGUAAGCACUGUUAUUAGAGAAGAACAGCCGAUAGAGUAACUGUUAUCGGUUUGACGGUAUCUAACCAGAAAGUGACGGCUAACUACGUGCCAGCAGCCGCGGUAAUACGUAGGUCACAAGCGUUGUCCGGAUUUAUUGGGCGUAAAGGGAGCGCAGGCGGUUUGUUAAGUCUGAUGUGAAAGCCCACGGCUCAACCGUGGAACGGCAUUGGAAACUGGCAAACUUGAGUAUAGAAGAGGAAAGUGGAAUUCCAUGUGUAGCGGUGAAAUGCGUAGAUAUAUGGAGGAACACCAGUGGCGAAGGCGACUUUCUGGUCUAUAACUGACGCUGAGGCUCGAAAGCG